Molecule: long non-coding RNA, 1079 nt
Filed under: Equus asinus (donkey)
Lineage: Eukaryota; Metazoa; Chordata; Mammalia; Perissodactyla; Equidae
Description: lncRNA (ENSEASG00005038131.1)
Source: RNAcentral
AUGCUAGAGAGGUUUUAUUCACGUGUCUUUCCAGAGAACCACAGAACAUACUCCGAUAGAUUUCAACAUCCGCAUUGCUAUCAAGCAUGUCUUGUGAGUAUUCUGUGUGAUGUAGCGGAAAGUGGGCACAAAGCACUUCCGCGGUGUGUCCAAGCACCGUGGUCAUCUCGAGGAAGAGCGCCUGUGCCGUUGAGUGACCACUUCUCAUCAGAAGAUUCUCUCAUCUCCAGAGGACCUGUAUACCUUGUCAGCUUUGGACUCCAUGGACCCAACCUUCCAGUCCACUGAACCUCCUUCCUGUGCCCUCAUGGCCCCAUUUAGGGACAGCUCUAUGACCUUGUUCAGCCAGAAGUAGUUACAGAAGGUUGGCCAUCGUCCAUAUCCCCAAAGGAUUUUGGGGCCAAAUGGGUUCAGGGGAGAUUUUAUGAUGAGGAUCAAGCCUGCCCCAGGGUGAGAAGGUCAAGGCAUCCUGCCCUACAGAUGGAUCUAUAUCAUCCUCCGGGAAGCAUAGAACCUCCUGAUCUGAUCUGACCUGACUCCUAUCCAAAGUUAUAGGAUCACCCAAUAACCAGACCCCGCCUGCACUGAUACCAUUUUGAUGGCUUUUUUUUUUUCUGCUUUAUUUCCCAAACUCCCCCGGUACAUAGUUGUAUAUCUUAGUUGCAGGUCCUUCUAGUUGUGGGAUGUGGGACGCCGCCUCAACGUGGCCUGACGUGCGGUGCCAUGUCCGCGCCCAGGAUCCGAUCCCUGGGCCGCUGCAGUGGAGCACGCAAACUUAACCACUCGGCCACGGAGCCGGCUGCCUUUUGAUGGCUUUUUUACAUGAUCUUUCCUUUGUCUUGUAAAGAAAUAACUCACAUACCUGUGCCUUAUAAAUUUAGCCCUACCCUCAACCCAUUGCAGCUCUUUACUGCCCAUGGGUCCUGUCCCCAUGCUACUCCAUGCUAUUCUCUGAAUAAAGGAGCACUACUACCAGAUCUUGAGAAUCCAGGAAAUCUUUCUUUCAACUCCUCAGCUCACAGAGCCUGCAUCAUUUUUCAUUAGAACAGCUUAGCUAUAAUGAGAUGAUUGCACUUCAU